Long non-coding RNA from Bombus impatiens (common eastern bumble bee), 3440 nucleotides. RefSeq lists it as uncharacterized. The transcript has 7 exons. The record is from RefSeq and is a predicted model, not a curated record. NCBI's taxonomy places the organism in Eukaryota, Metazoa, Arthropoda, Insecta, Hymenoptera, Apidae.
CGCGCGUAAACCACCGGCACGCUUUUCACGCGCACGUUCCUUACGUCGUUCUUUCUGUGUCACGUGGUCACUUGACUUCAUUCAUGGAGACAGGUCCUUUUAUACUACGAGCGUGUAUGCGUUCUCCAUAAAAAUGCACGCGGUGUAAUGAACGCUUCUACGAAUCGGCCGCAGCCAACCAAAACGUAAUCGAUUCGAGGAAAACUGAAUUUUAUAAGCUACACGUAACCGAAAAAUCAACACGUGUUUUAUUCCCUUGCUGGUUUCUUAUUCAACAUGCACUCGUGAUUCAACUUUAACCAAUAACUGCCUGACAAGAAAACGGACGGUCGAUGCACUUUCAAUCGCAGUUCGAUCGCGAUACGUAAUCUCUGAGCGCACAGAGGCAACCGAAUCGAGUAAUGUGCAUACCAUGAGAUUCGAAUGGAAGAAUUAAGAUGAAAAAAAUACACGACUUGCCACCUGCAUAUUAUCCUUGAUAAACGGGCUGUCUAAUUUUAGCAUGAUCGUAGGAUAAUGGGAAUGAGAUUUGACAUAAUGAUUGUUUACUCAAUAGCGUAGAGUUUAGAAAAUAUGUAGAACAAAAUGAGGAAAUGAAGAUCGAGCUGAUUUCACAGGUAGUGAAGCUUUCUGUGGUUUUAGAAUAGCGUAAAGUAUAGAAGAUCGUAAAACGUAUCUUCCUUUUAAUGAGCCACUACUAUUCAACCAUCUUUCUCACGUAUGAAGAAUUCACAAUACUUUAUUGUUCAGCCUCUGAAGACGACAGACUUUUGCCUCCUUCUAAUAGUCGCUACAACAUUAAAAUAUCUUCCGGUGUGAUUGUAACUGAUCGUAACUGCCAGGCUAUUGCAUUAACAUCUGUCAUUUAUGAAGGUGUUCAAGAGGAAAGUCACAGUUGAUGCGUAAUUUCGGUAUAGUGUCUAAACAUUGCACUACGUACCAACGAAGUUCUUCUAUGCUUCUUCAUUUUAGUCGCCCUUUUUCAAGCCUUGGGGGACAUAUUCUCACGAAAUCCGGUUCUACUGGUUUGGUGUUAGAUACGAAGGUUGUCACGUUCUCAAAGGAGAUGAUAUUUAUUACUUCAAAUUGGUUACAAAAUACGCCAUAACUCUCGCAUAAUUUAUGACUGUACCGAUGGUGUUGACGACGCAUCCCGUGAAUACAUCUCUCUCAUAUAAUAUUAUACAUACGAGAGCAAUACGAGAGACCAGGUGUAUUUAAAUAUUCAUAUGCAAUGUAUCACGAAUCAUACAUCAGUUUGCGGCUACGAGCAUUACAAACGCCGAGUCUACGCAACAUAUACAGAGUGACUUUUUAAUAAAAUCAUUGAUUACCUCCCUUUUAUUAAUAUGUGCAAUGCUUAUGACUUAUGUGAAACAAAAAAUGAUUUAAAUGAAUAUGAUGUCUGCCGCGAAUUUAAAAAAUAUCACUUUUAAAAAAGCCAAAGUAUUCAACAAGUAAAAGAAGUUCUUUGAAAUUGUAACAAUGCAUAGCUAGUAUCGGGAGAUAAAUGUUUCACUCUGUAUGCAAAAAUAUCAUGUAGCCAAACACCAUCUCCUGCACAACAGGUUGUUAAUUCCUCUCUGUAAGAUCCACGGCGGUGGGCUUCAUUAAAAAUUGAACUGGUCAGAAUAUCAGAGAGAAGAAUAAAUUUAAUACGUAUGAGCCAUUAAUUAGCGGUCCAAUUGCUGAUAUUCUUAUUAUACAAGGAGGGCGUAACGUACGUAGAAUGUGCUUCCAAAAAAAACCUUCGUAACUACAUCGAUUUGUUUGCUACGUUUGUAUGGGAAAUAAAAACUAACAACAUUAUACGCGCGAAACCUAUAUAGUACGUUUAAAUAUGGUAAAGUGCAAUCAUAUAUUUACAUAAAAAUGUCCAUAAUUCAUAUAUACCUGAAAGGCUAAAGAAUACAAGCAGAAACCGAGAAUAACAAGCCAGAGUCCAAAGACAUCGCCAGGACCAGUCUUGGAUCGAGCAACAACUCUAUAUCCUCACUGGAAUAAACUAUGCUUACUAUAAGAAUCAGCGAAAAAAUAAGAAGAUACUACGCUUAGACAAAUCGAACGAUCCCGCUAAUAUCAAUCACUACGUCGAAAAAGUUCAAUAGCACUAGUUUUGCACCGAACGAUCUUAACUUAUUCUAAAUCCCACAAAUCUAUCUACAUUCGUCUUGGGACAAGGAAUAGCCCAAUGGAACUCGUUCUGGGUUACAGAAUCCUAUCUACGUCUAAACGACAAUUCGAACUUUAAUGAUUUAUUUGCAACAAUUGCGUCGAGUAGUAAUUCGGAAACUAAAUUUGAGGAUUGUAUAGAUAUGUUAAAUCAAUUUGAAAGGAAUUCUCUUCGUGAAGGACUAGAGAGAGGAGAACAUGGCAAGAAAAACAAUUAACUCUACACAAACACAUUUAUAGCUGCCGGGUUUCGCGAGCAAUGAACUCAUGGGAAACAUUAAAAUAUCUUCGGAAAAAAAGGAGACACAUAUUUUGCUUACUCCAACGCUAUAUUUAUUUUAAACGUACAGCUUUAAAAUACAAAAUAAAUGUUUGCUUAAACAAGAGAUACGUAACUGUCAAAUGGAAUUUCUGCCUUCUUCUAUUGACGCAUGUUUAUUAAAACUUAAGGAUCACCCUUUCUUAUGCUAAUCCUGUGCUUCCUCCGUAUCUCAGCUCAUUGUAUGUAUAUUGAAACUACAUUUAUAUAAGUAUGUAAUGUGUAAAGAUUAAAGGCAUAUCAAUACAGGUAAUACAAUUAUUGGACGAACAAAUAUUGAAUUAAUUAUUAUUAAGUAUUCAAAUUAAUAAAAAGUUAGUUUAAUAUUAAUAAAAAGUUUAUCAAAGUAAAAUGUUAGUAAAUUUUUUUUGGAAAAAAUGUUAAUACAGGCACAUACGUAUAUCUAGGAAAUAAUAUCUUUGACAAAGAAUUCGUGAACAAUGUGCAAUAGACUUCUGUAUCAUACACAUAGCUCGAGGAAUUUUUUAAAAGAAUUUUUCUAGGCACGCACAAUGUACACCAGAUCGGACAGAAAACAAGAAAUGGAAUACGCAGUCUUUUUCCCCGAGGACGAUCUAGAUUACAGAAUAAACCGCGCAUUACGAAGGGGACCGCAUUUCCUCAGGUUAUCUGUGUAUACAUUUGGUACAAACAGAGAAGAAAUUUCUUCUCUGGUACAAGACAAGAUUUCCAUACGACUUUAUUACAAAAACGUCUAUUUGGGUGAUCUUAUACAGUAUUAUGUUUCUUUGCAAUGAUGUCACAGAAAAAAAUACUAAAUAAAAGUACAAAGAUAGUUUAUUAUUAAUAUAAAGAACUAGAAAAAAUAAACAUAUAUUUAUAUGAUCCUUUAAUUUCAUUAGCUGCAAAAUUUUAUUUACACAGUCAUAAAAUCCCGCCACGACACGCUAUCAUCAUUUUACCAAUUUGAAAUUUUCGCACGGCACCA